CUAGAGGGAAUGGAUUUAAGGACACACAGCAGGAGCUGGCUGAAUUUAUUUUAUUUUGACGGGGGUAGUUGGGGGAGGAAUAUCAUUUCUGAAAUGCACAAGGAAUGAAGGGAGAGGAUAUGGAUUGCUUAAACAGUUUUUGCAAGAGGAGCGGUGUCUUGUUCUGCAGGUUAGGCUUCUCAGUCCCUCUGGAGCUGCAUGAUGGAGGCAGUAAGCCAGAUAUCUAUUUCCCCUGGUGAGAGCCCCUGAUGGAAAGCCAGGCACCUGGCAGCCCUGGCCUUUGACACAAUACACUGACAACUAAUGAUGGUGAACCUUGAACAGCCCACAAGGUCAAGCUGGACUAACUUACAUCAACAGUAAUGCAGAGCUACUGGAAGCAUCCAGGAUCCAAGUUGGAUCUGGUCUGCCUGCCUGCUGCUAGGAACCGUGUUGGUGUGAAUUCUCCUGUUUACAUCAAAAGAACUUCAUAUUUGCUUGGCAAAUAAUUCAAUACAAAUUAGAACAUUCAGUUCCAGUUUGGCUUGGUAGCCUCAUGUCGACAGAGCUAAAAUGCUGGUUGUCUUUUAUGAACUACCAAAGUAGCCUAAGAUACUGGGCCUAAGGAGACUUUUAUGUGGUCAUAGAAUUGAUUCUCCCAGUUGGAAACAAGAAGGAAACAUGCAAGAAAGUGG
RNAcentral lists this long non-coding RNA (674 nucleotides) under Sus scrofa (pig). Its description in RNAcentral is "lncRNA (ENSSSCG00070015582.1)". Lineage: Eukaryota; Metazoa; Chordata; Mammalia; Artiodactyla; Suidae. The record is from RNAcentral.